CAUGAGGUCCAAAGAGAGAACUUGUGGAAAAGGGUCGCAUGCGGAGCCCUCAACGCAUGGGGGCCACCUUCCAUAUUAUGCCCCCUUUUACUUGGAAGAUGCUCCUUCCAGCUUCUCCCUGCCCCUUCUCUUCUCUCCUUUUGCCUCAGGCACCAAAAGUUCUGUUGUCAAAAGAAUAGCUAAGUCUUUAGGGAGAGUUCAGAGCCAAUUGUUCCUCCCUGGGGCCACCACUACUGACCCAAGAUCACAGUUGAGAAGAAACUGAACUGGAGAGAGACCCAGAGGAAUGAAUUCCAAAUGGCAGCCUUUCAGACUCACGUCUACUUAGUACUAACAAUCGUUACAAUUAUAGUAACAUUUCCUGGCAUAUAUGAUGUGAUAUGCUCUGUGCCCCAUGUUUUGUACGCAUUAUCCCCUUUAAUUCUUACCACAAACUUAUAAGCUAGGUGUUUCAGCAUGUUCUUUUUACGGGUGAGGAAACUGAGGAUCUGUUGAGAAGGAGGCCAGGAAUAAAAUGUGUCCUUCAUUCAUGUGAUUCCAAGGUGACUUCAUAGAAGGGUGUAUGUAAGCGUGUCAGCAAGGUUGAAAGGAAGGCAAGGGCACAUGACAGAGAGACCUGGGAAAACAUUAUGAUGGAGGAGUCAUUUGAACAUGGCCUUCUGGAUUAGUUUGGGUCUCAACAGGCAGAGAUGAGAAGGGAAGAAAGCAUUAGAGGCUUGAAGGAACCACCAGGAGCCACGGCAGAGAAGCAUGGGGUUUGUUUUGGUGACACGGACGUGUUGGUAAUGCAUCACCGUAUGAGGUAGGUGCUACCUAUCAUUAUUUGCAUUUUACAGAGGAGGAAAAUGAGGUACAGAGAGGGUGAUUAAUUUGGCUGAGGUCACACAGCUAAGCGGUAGAGCUGGGAUUUGAACUGCCAUCUGUCUGACUCCAGAGCCUUUUCAGGGUGGAGAUCACAUAUGGGUCUCAAAUCAGUCAGCAACUAAGGGAAGGCUUUAGUAUUUGCAGCUUCUGGGAAGAUUCUAGGCCCAGCAGCCACCCAUGCCCAAAGCAGCAUACCAGUGCUCCUCCCCCCACCCCCAAAAUUUGUGGGGGCCAGGAGGGAGAGAAUAGUGGGAACAGGACAAUUUUCAGAUUCUCAGAUAACUGCAGUGAGGCUGUGCAUUUGCAGAGCACCUACAUUUUUCCUCCCUCCUUCCUGGGAUCAGGUUACUCUCUUGCAUUCUUUUACAUUUCAUAAUAACGGCUUGUUAACUACAUGCUGGAUCCUGAGAUGACAAUGAGGUCUGGAGUUGGUUUGGAAGCCUGCUGGAGGUCACGUAGCAUCGAGUGGUGGAUGGGGGUUUCAAUCCCAGCCUGAGCCAUUCACCAUGGCUUUGCUGCACCCCCCCCCCAUACCCCCUCGCCAUGCUUCUUUUGCUUCUCACAAUGGCCCAAGACAGGUCUUUGGGUUCAGUAAAUCUGACCUGCUUGCCAUGACUUGAGGUUGGUCAGCUAGCCCAGAGGCCAGAUCCUGACUCCUGGUCCAGUGCCCUCUCUGCUGCCCCCACCUCCCAAGUCUGUCCUGAGGCAGCAGGUGCUGAUGGACCCCAAGUGUCCACUGUACCUCCACAGUCAGGGUCUUGGCCUCACAUUUUUGUCCCCUGGGAGCUCUGCCCAGAGAGGGCAGGAAACCCAGGUCACUGGUGGAUCUGUUCAUGUGGGUUUUAGGAUCAAUGGAAUCCUGUCUCAUUUCACGUGUGAACAGAACCCCCCUUGGCCCUGGAGGGACAUUUGUAGAACUGGGGCAAUAUGCACAGAUGGACCAGGGAAUGAUUUUAAUGCACAUACUGAAAUCUCAUUUAGAGGAAGGUAAGGUAUGAGGGGCACCAGAGGGGAUUCCCCCUGCGAAUUUAGGGGAAUUUCCAAGGUGGCAGUGAGAGUGGGGGGAGGACAGAAGGGAGUGUGUACAUUCAUUCCUUCAUUCAGUUUUUCAUCUCUUCGCUCAGCACACACACCCUGAGCAAGCUGUGUUCUAUUCUGUGCCAGGCUGUGUUCAAGGCAUGAGAGGAACAGCAGGGAAGAAAACAGAUAAAAUGCUCGCCCUCACAGUGCCCUUAUUCUAUUGCUGAUAGUGGUGCGGUGGGGUAGGGUGAGCAAAUACAAUGAAUACAUAGUAAAUUAGGUGAUGGUGACAGUGACUUAACAAAUCAGGGAAGGGAGGAGGGGAGGGCUGGUGGAGUUGAAUCUGUCUGCAUACGGACCUUCAUUCUAGUUCUAGGUGGAGCAAGAAUCAGGUUGUUUUUGUUUUUGUUUUUCUAAACAAGCAGGUCAUUAUUCAGAAAACCCAGAUUUACCCUAUAUGGGUAAAAUGCAGGUAAGUCCAACACCUGGCAGGGGACUCUCAGAGCCAAGGAGGGACUUAAGGGUGAAAUUAUUCUCUGCUCCAUACAGGGCCAGUUCACGCAGAGCUGGGGACCCCAGGCUCACCCUUGACUGGUGGGUUGGGAACAGCACUGACCCGGGUGGUCAAGACCAGUAUGGAUGUGUGUUCUGCUGCCACAGGCUGCCCUUAAGAGACAGAGGGUGGGCGCUGUGGUUAUUCCCGUUUUGCUGGUGAAGACAGCGAAGCUUGGAGAGGUGAAGAAGCUAGGUUGUGCAGUUUGUGAGAGGAGGGGCCCGGAAGGGAGCCCUAGCAGGCUGAUGUCAAGCCCUCCCACAGCUAGUCAUUGUGCCACAUGGCCGCCACCAAGUGUGUUCCUUCGUGGAAGCGGGACCUUCAUGAACCUCAUGUGUUUCCCUGGCCUCAUAGUCAAAACACCUGGGGCUCAUCCCCAGCUCCUCCACAGGCUGGUGUGUGACUGGGGCUCUUUUACCUGUGUGAUGGCGACACUGCUUCAUUGACCGUUAGGUUUAGAGUCCCUCCUUUUGGACCAGGAUGCGUCGUGGUAAAUGCCUUGGCCAACAGAGUACAAUGGAAGUAAUACUAUGUGACUUCUGAGACUAGAUCAUGAAAGUGUCCGCCUGCCUCUUUCACUCAAUCUUGAGACAUGUGCCCCGGGGAGCCUUGUGUCAACAGGCCCUGUGGGGGAAGAAGGACCAUCAGAGGUUGGAGGAAGGUGACAUUCAAGCUGCUGAGCUAGAGUUUGAGGAUUGACACCUGGUUGCGGACAGAGAAAAGAUCGACACCUCCAUAGUGGUUGUUCACGGAAGAAGUGCUCUGAGAGAGACAGUAUUAUCCAGGAACAAUCUGUAGCUCUUCUGAUGUUUUGCUGAAGGACCUGGAGCCCCCUCUCUGGAGGAAUCUGAUCUGACUGCCUCCAGCUACUCAUGGGUGUACCCUAUCCUAUUGGUUGAAGCUUUGAUGGGAGUUCUGUUAGUGGGCUCUAUUUUUGUUGUUAUAGAAACCCAAUUCUAGAUGUCUUACCAGAAGGGGAGUCCAGGAUGGAGAGCAGAGGAGCGCUGUGACCCCAGACAAAGAGAGGAGUUCUGGGAAGCCACGGGAGCCUGCACAACUGCCAAAGAAUGGCUGACUCCAGAGCGACCGACGGAGGCCUGCUGGUUCUUAGACUCUCGUGGAUAGGAGCUGGCACAGAAGGGGAAUUUGACACAUGUUUAUUGAAUGAAUGGUCAGUGAGAAGUAUGAGUUCUGGGGAGGGAAUAUGCUACCUCUACAGGCAUGGAUCAAGCACCACCGAGAUCAUGAGUGAACACCAUGAAGAGUAAACACCAUGCGGAUCUCAUGUUUUCAGGACCCCAAGUGUCCAGUGACUAGAAUGAUACACACAAAGUAACAUGGCAAAGAUUCAGCAGAAGGAGAAACUGGGUACCACUGAGACACCCUCCCUGACCAGAAUCACUGUUGGUCACUGGUCACUGGUCACUUCCUCAGCCCACCUGUGGCUCUAAUUCCCACAGCAUCCUUCCCUUGGGGGGCUUUGGCCUCUGGGAAGAAAUGAAUGUAGCCCUUGAGAGAGCUCUGCAUUCUUGCACAGGUGAUCACCCCAUCCAAUUCAAUGUGAACUCAAGUAGAAAGGAUUGUGACCUUUCCAGAGGCCAGAAUCAUUGUUCUAGAACUGGAAGGGGCCACGGCAGUUCUUUGGCCUGGUUCUAAUCUUCUGUCUGAAGAAAUCAUUGUAGUGGGGUGCAACUAUUCUAACGCCUGGCCCCAGAAUUCUCUUCUGGAGGAGAACUGUCUUGAGACCCUGAGGGCGAAGUUGGCAAGAGACAAAAUGAUGAAGAGAGAACUGGUGUCUUGUGCAUAAAAAUAAAUAGGGACUUUGGGUGAGAGACUCUGAAGGAGAGGAAGUACAGGAGGAGGGGACUUCUCAGGGGGAAAUGAAACUUGAAACUUAUACUUGUGGAAAUUUUAAGAACAAGGAUGUCUAAUUUUUGGUUGCA
Long non-coding RNA from Acinonyx jubatus (cheetah), 4380 nucleotides. RefSeq lists it as uncharacterized. Lineage: Eukaryota; Metazoa; Chordata; Mammalia; Carnivora; Felidae. The transcript is spliced from 8 exons. The record is from RefSeq and is a predicted model, not a curated record.